This 500-nucleotide ribosomal RNA is filed under the name uncultured Actinomycetes bacterium. Its description in RNAcentral is "bacterial SSU rRNA". It matches the Rfam family "Bacterial small subunit ribosomal RNA", at positions 612 to 1112 of the family's 1533-position model. Lineage: Bacteria; Bacillati; Actinomycetota; Actinomycetes. The record is from RNAcentral.
ACUGCGGGCGUGCGGUUGAUACGGGUGGGCUAGAGUUCGGUAGGGGAGACUGGAAUUCCUGGUGUAGCGGUGAAAUGCGCAGAUAUCAGGAGGAACACCGGUGGCGAAGGCGGGUCUCUGGGCCGAUACUGACGCUGAGGAGCGAAAGCGUGGGGAGCGAACAGGAUUAGAUACCCUGGUAGUCCACGCCGUAAACGUUGGGCGCUAGGUGUGGGGCUCAUUCCACGAGUUCCGUGCCGCAGCUAACGCAUUAAGCGCCCCGCCUGGGGAGUACGGCCGCAAGGCUAAAACUCAAAGGAAUUGACGGGGGCCCGCACAAGCGGCGGAGCAUGCGGAUUAAUUCGAUGCAACGCGAAGAACCUUACCAGGGCUUGACAUAUACCGGAAACACCCAGAGAUGGGUGCCCCGCAAGGCCGGUAUACAGGUGGUGCAUGGUUGUCGUCAGCUCGUGUCGUGAGAUGUUGGGUUAAGUCCCGCAACGAGCGCAACCCUCGUCCUA